RNAcentral lists this transfer RNA (84 nucleotides) under Saprospiraceae bacterium. RNAcentral's name for it is "tRNA-Leu". It matches the Rfam family "tRNA". Rfam says of the family: Transfer RNA (tRNA) molecules are approximately 80 nucleotides in length. Their secondary structure includes four short double-helical elements and three loops (D, anti-codon, and T loops). Lineage: Bacteria; Pseudomonadati; Bacteroidota; Saprospiria; Saprospirales; Saprospiraceae. The record is from RNAcentral. RNAcentral also lists the same sequence under 1 other name.
GCCGCUGUGGCGGAAUUGGUAGACGCGCUGGAUUCAAAAUCCUGUGACUGUGAGGUCGUGAGGGUUCGAUUCCCUCCGGCGGUA